RNAcentral lists this ribosomal RNA (274 nucleotides) under uncultured bacterium. Its description in RNAcentral is "partial 16S ribosomal RNA". It matches the Rfam family "Bacterial small subunit ribosomal RNA", at positions 523 to 796 of the family's 1533-position model. The record is from RNAcentral.
AUACAGAGGGUGCGAGCGUUAAUCGGAAUUACUGGGCGUAAAGCGCGCGUAGGCGGUCUAUUAAGUCAGAUGUGAAAUCCCAGGGCUCAACCUUGGAACUGCAUCGGAUACUGGUAGACUAGAGUUUUGGAGAGGGAAGUAGAAUUUCAGGUGUAGCGGUGAAAUGCAUAGAGAUCUGAAGGAAUAACAGUGGCGAAGGCGACUUCCUGGCCAAAAACUGACGCUGAGGUGCGAAAGCGUGGGUAGCAAACGGGAUUAGAAACCCCAGUAGUCC